UUCAUGUCAAUUCAUGCCCUACAAAUUCUUAACAACAAUUUGCAGCCAACAAAUUGGUCAGAGAUUACUUAGCUCUAAGUUGACCAAGAUUUUGGCAAAAGUUGUGAAUGAAUUGUGAGAUAGGUGAGCGAAAUUCCAUAAGCUACCAGUUACUAUUCGGCAACAAACGAAAUGAACGCUAAAGUUGUAUCGGAAGCCAGAAGGGCAAGUUUGGGCUGUCUGCCCCAACCAUCAGCCAAAAAUCUUGCCUCCCAACGCCGCCGUGCUCCUCCUCUCCUCCCGUCGAUGAGCUCCUCCUCUCUUCCCGCCGCCGGCACCUCCCUCAGCAGCGCCUCCGCCGCCGGGAUCCUCCUCUCCCAUCCGCCUCCUCUACUCCCUCAGCAGCGCCUCCGCCGCCUGCCCCUCUCGCGGUCGCCGUGCUCCUCCUCUCGCUUCGCCUUCCGCCGCCGCCUCACCUCCACCUUCCACCGCCGCCGUGCUGCACGUUCAUCGCAUCACCGGCGAAGGCGAGCCACCAGGCGUGAGAUGAUUCACCCGUCUAGUUCUUCUUCAUCUCGCAAUUCUUGAUUAGCUGCGUUUUUCUCUUUCCUGUGACUCCGAUGUGCCGAUUUGGUAGCUGCAGGACGUCAGGAAGGCCUUCAUCGAGGAAUCCCGCUGAUAUUACCAAAUCUCAAUGUCUAGGGAACCAUAUGUUAUCACGAGAUGUACUAGUACUCCAUCAGUUCACCAGCCUUUGCAGAGGCAGCCCAACUCUUAUCUGAAAGGAUAUGCUACUAUUCCAUCAUCUGUCCAUUUUAUUUCCUGUUGUCCCAAUGCUCAAAAUUUGUACUGUUAUCUGAAGAUUAUGAUGUCAUCUUUGUACCUAAGUACUUCCAAGCAAGUAGAUCUGGAGUCCAUAAAGGAGGGUUGCGUUCAACAGUGGUAAAGGCAGGCUUUGUGGCUACAAAAAAUUCACUUUCGUCAGCCAAUGCUUCUCAAAUCAUUCAGUUGCUCCAUGCUGUAUUUGCCCCUAGAAGGUGUCUUUAUAAAUAUUUUCUGUUUGAUCCAAGUUGUCAACUUAAGUAAUAUAAUUAUGUGAAUCAUAUGUAAAGAAGAAUGUUGUUUCCAGAUAUUAGUAGAAUAUUAUUUAGACAUGCCACUUGUGGUUAAUGAGCAUUGCUUACAUGGAGGUUUCACUGAUACUUAUGGUAAGCUAGCAAUACAUAUCUGAUUCUAACAUUGCUCUGAUAUGUAUUGUUAAGUAGUAAUAAAUUAGAUCCGAUUUAUGAAAUUGUUGGACGCUUUUUUUCUCAAGAAAACACAAAGCUAAGGUUUUAUGUGUAGACUAAUUAAUUCCACUUGUUAUUUUUUUUAAUUUACAUAUGAAAAUAACACUAAACUUGCACCUAAGGUUUUAUGUGUAAGACUAAUGGUCCAUGUUUCUCAAAGGUUGUGCAUGGAGAUGUUGUUCUUGAUGAAUUGCAGGUGUUGAUGAAUUGCUGGUGAGUGCAAAUUUGGGUCAUGCCCACAUUCUCAUUUGGCUUGUACUACUAGAGCACUAUCUUUGAUCACUUGUACUAAGGCUGAUACAAUCAGUCCGAAGUCCUUUUCCUUGGCCUUUCUGUAUGAACUGAAGAAUGACACGUGAAGUCUACACCUGGUAUUGGCCCUAUUGUUCCUGAAGCGUGCAGCGACUGUGGAAAGAAAUUUAAUGUGGGUGGACCAAUAUGGUCUGCUCCUGUUCAUGAUCAAAAUUCUCAGAAAUGCACCCAUGUUUGGUGAUUUUCAGUUGGGCUGUAGAAUAUUGUUGCACUUGCUUCAUACUGAAUGUAAAAGUCAAUAAGUUUGCUUGAAUUAUA
This is a long non-coding RNA of Brachypodium distachyon (stiff brome), 1838 nucleotides long. RefSeq lists it as uncharacterized. The transcript is spliced from 2 exons. The record is from RefSeq and is a predicted model, not a curated record. NCBI's taxonomy places the organism in Eukaryota, Viridiplantae, Streptophyta, Magnoliopsida, Poales, Poaceae.